AUCUUUUUUUGACCUUUCGAUACAGUGUUAUAUCUGUUAAAAAAUCUAACGAAAAUCAAGUGUUUUGCAUUCAUAUUGAACCAUGUUAGUUUCGUCUAUCUUUUAACCUUUUCCAUUGGGAUUGCAUUGCUCUUUUGAAUGAGAGAUUGUUUAGGUCCAUGCAAGACAUGUUCCAAUCUUUUAAGUUGUCAUGUCCUUAUUUUGUUCUUAAUUGGUGUGACCUCGACGUGUGGUGUAUAUUUUGAUUCCUUAUUAAUUGCCAAACUUAAAUUACUAAAUAAUCUCUCUUUGAGACAAUAUGAGAUGUCCUGCUAUGAUAAAAAUAACAUUCUUUUUACUUAUCUUAACUUAUCGUAUAACUUACGCUAGGACAAGAAUCCCUUGAAUUUAGGAUUGAUGGGAAGAUAUUUUAAUUAAGCUAAUGGAUGCUCAAGCAGCACAAGAACAUUUGGGUAAAAUAUAAUCCUUAAUUUUUCUUCAUUACACAAUCACAGAGCAUGCUUCUUUGCUUAAACUUUUGUUCAAGCCAUCUUUUUUACGUUUAUAUUUUUAUGUGAUUUUCUUUUUUGGUGGGGGUGGCUUCCUUGGAGCUUUGUCAUACAAUUCCUGUGGUGACAUAGAUGCUGAUUCUGGCAUUGAUUUUGAAAUAUAAUGCUCAGUAAUCACAUCCAAGACGCAAAUUCUGGGGAAAAAAAAUAACUGCUGCUGAUUUUGAUUACAGGCCCAACGCUCAUCCUUUCAUGUUGGAAAAUAUUGUUAUUCUUGUUUUACAACAGCUUUGGGCUAAUUGCUACUUGUGUUCAGAUCGAGUAUGUUUGUUUUGACGCUCGCUUUGUUUUCUGCAGAUGAAUCAUCUCGGCAUCUGAUAUUCUUGGUGAAUGAAGAUUUCUUUCACGCAGAGACAGAUCUUUUCUUUGCGCUUUCUUUCCUUUUAAUUUAAUAAUCACCAGGAUGUUCAUUUUGAUCGGGUUAAUGUUUUGAAUUUUCUUAGUGGUAGAAAUGGUCGUGUUUGCUUCUAUUUUAUUUUACUUCUUUGGGACUGAAUCAAACUUGGUUGGGGAUUCUGUUAUCUAAAUCUUUUCUCGAUGGAUGACAGAAAAUAAUCAAUCUUAAUUGAUGAUUGGGACAUAAAAUUAUUGGAUAAAUUUUCUGACUUGAUUAUGAAUA
RNAcentral lists this long non-coding RNA (1167 nucleotides) under Olea europaea subsp. europaea. Lineage: Eukaryota; Viridiplantae; Streptophyta; Magnoliopsida; Lamiales; Oleaceae. The record is from RNAcentral.